Molecule: ribosomal RNA, 443 nt
Filed under: uncultured bacterium
Lineage: Bacteria
Description: partial 16S ribosomal RNA
Rfam family: Bacterial small subunit ribosomal RNA
Source: RNAcentral
CCUACGGGAGGCAGCAGUGGGGAAUAUUGGGCAAUGGGCGCAAGCCUGACCCAGCAACGCCGCGUGAAGGAAGACGGCUUUCGGGUUGUAAACCUCUUUUCUCAGGGACGAAGCAAGUGACGGUACCUGAGGAAUAAGCCACGGCUAACUACGGGCCAGCCGCCGCGGUAAUACGUAGGUGGCAAGCGUUAUCCGGAUUUACUGGGUGUAAAGGGCGUGUAGGCGGGACUGCAAGUCAGAUGUGAAAACCACGGGCUCAACCUGUGGCCUGCAGUUGAAACUGUAGUUCUUGAGUACUGGAGAGGCAGACGGAAUUCGUGGUGUAGCGGUGAAAUGCGUAGAUAUUAGGAGGAACACCAGUGGCGAAGGCGGUCUGCUGGACAGCAACUGACGCUGAGGCGCGAAAGCGUGGGGAGCGAACAGGAUUAGAUACCCUUGUAGUC